UACGUAGGGGGCAAGCGUUGUCCGGAUUUAUUGGGCGUAAAGAGCGUGUAGGCGGCUUUACAGGUCCGUUGUGAAAACUCGAGGCUCAACCUCGAGACGCCGGUGGAAACCGUAAAGCUAGAGUCCGGAAGAGGAGAGUGGAAUUCCUGGUGUAGCGGUGAAAUGCGCAGAUAUCAGGAGAACACCCGUGGCGUAAAGGCGGCUCUCUGGACGGUACUGACGCUGAGACGCGAAAGCGUGGGGAGCGAACAGG
This 253-nucleotide ribosomal RNA is filed under the name uncultured bacterium. RNAcentral describes it as "partial 16S ribosomal RNA". It matches the Rfam family "Bacterial small subunit ribosomal RNA", at positions 524 to 776 of the family's 1533-position model. The record is from RNAcentral.